CGAUUUAUACCAUGAUUAAACAUAACCAAAUUCAAACUUAGUAUUUAAGCCAUAUUCACAUGGCUGGAAGUAUACAUAUCAAAGUUCAAACAAAAUUAAUACAUAUUAGCCUAUACAUGUCAAAAUGUUCAUUUAGAUCAACUAAGAAGAGGGUACCAAAAUGUUGCAAGCUGGUGUGAUGACUUCGACGAUGAUUCCAAGCAUGCAAAAUGGGUCAAGGAAAUCUAAAUAGGAGACAAGCAAACACACCAAAUGAGUAUUCAACUCAGUAAGUCAUAAGCAAUAUAAAACAGACCAUUAACAUGAGAUUAUAAGAGAAAUAAUGUAAGAUCAACUAUUUCAGCCAUACUGAUCUAUGCUACAAUUAACUAGAUUAUCGAUCCAACCAUAAGCCAAAUAUUGCUAUCCGAUCGACUAUCAAACAACCAAAUGGUUUAAAUCUUUUUUUUUCAAAGUAUGAAACAAUGAUGAACUAGAUGUAUCCAUGCAUAUACGUUUCAUGUCUCAACUUCGAUAUUUCAAGUAAUAGCUCUAGCACUUUAUUCUUUCCCUAUACUUCUUAUAUCAUCAACCGAUUUCGCACACAUAGUGCUAAACAAAUUCGCACACAUAGUGCCAUGCUACACCGCACACAUAGUGCCUUGAAUAUUCACUCAUGUAUUGACAUCCAAAUCAGCACACAUAGUGCCAUUCAAUUCCGCACACAUAGUGCCAUUCAAAUCCGCACACUUAGUGCCAAUGUUGACCCAUUAUAAUAAGACAAUUUACUUAAUUCAAUUGGCAUAUAUGGCCACAAUUAUAAAUAUGUAUAUCACUCCAAAAGAAUACCUAACAAAAUAUGGACUUACCUUGUGUUGGAUAAAACGGUUCCAAAUCGGCUACUCGAU
This 887-nucleotide long non-coding RNA is filed under the name Gossypium barbadense (sea-island cotton). RNAcentral's name for it is "long non-coding RNA (GBAR_LNC003744)". Lineage: Eukaryota; Viridiplantae; Streptophyta; Magnoliopsida; Malvales; Malvaceae. The record is from RNAcentral.